GCGAACGCUGGCGGCAGGCCUAACACAUGCAAGUCGAACGAACUCUUCGGAGUUAGUGGCGGACGGGUGAGUCACACGUGGGAACGUGCCUUUAGGUUCGGAAUAACUCAGGGAAACUUGUGCUAAUACCGAAUGUGCCCUUCGGGGGAAAGAUUUAUCGCCUUUAGAGCGGCCCGCGUCUGAUUAGCUAGUUGGUGAGGUAAAGGCUCACCAAGGCGACGAUCAGUAGCUGGUCUGAGAGGAUGAUCAGCCACAUUGGGACUGAGACACGGCCCAAACUCCUACGGGAGGCAGCAGUGGGGAAUCUUGCGCAAUGGGCGAAAGCCUGACGCAGCCAUGCCGCGUGAAUGAUGAAGGUCUUAGGAUUGUAAAAUUCUUUCACCGGGGACGAUAAUGACGGUACCCGGAGAAGAAGCCCCGGCUAACUUCGUG
RNAcentral lists this ribosomal RNA (432 nucleotides) under uncultured bacterium. RNAcentral describes it as "partial 16S ribosomal RNA". It matches the Rfam family "Bacterial small subunit ribosomal RNA", at positions 29 to 507 of the family's 1533-position model. The record is from RNAcentral.